CGACCGGUCUGGCUUAGUGGGUAGUGACCCUGCCUGUGAAGCCGAUGUUCCUGGGUUCGAAUCCCGGUAAGGGCAUUUAUUUGUGUGAUGAGCACAGAUAUUUGUUCCUGAGUCAUGGAUGUUUUCUAUUUGUCUGAGUACCCACAACACAAGCCUUCUUGAGCUUACCGUGGGACUUAGUCAAUUUGUGUAAGAAUGUUCUCUAUAAUAUUUAUU
Molecule: long non-coding RNA, 216 nt
Organism: Cydia strobilella
Lineage: Eukaryota; Metazoa; Arthropoda; Insecta; Lepidoptera; Tortricidae
Exons: 2
Source: RefSeq, a predicted model, not a curated record